RNAcentral lists this unclassified non-coding RNA (143 nucleotides) under uncultured Capnodiales. RNAcentral describes it as "sequence contains ITS2". Lineage: Eukaryota; Fungi; Ascomycota; Dothideomycetes; Capnodiales. The record is from RNAcentral.
CACCAAUCAAGCCUGGCUUGGUAUUGGGCCACGGGGGCGACCCGGGCCCCAAAGUCGCCGGCUGGAAAGCUCUGAUCUCAGCGUCGUGGAAUCCAUUCGCCGACGAGAGGAGCGAUCCGCGCCGUUUUAACAUCCAUUCGAAA